GAUGAACGCUGGCGGCGUGCCUAACACAUGCAAGUCGAGCGAACACACGAGCAGCUUGGGCCUCGGACUGUAUCGGCGGACGGGUGAGUAACACUGAGAUACCCUACCUAUAAGACUGGGAUAACGUCGGGAAACCGGGGCUAUUACCGGAUAAUAUAUUGAACCGCAUGGGUCAAGACGGGAAGGCGUCUUUUCCGGCAGUUAUAGAGGGAGCCGGGCCGCAGUAGCAAGAUGGUGAGGUAACGGCUUACCAAGGCAACGGUGCGUAGCGGACCUGAGAGGGUGAUCGGCCACCCUGGCACUGAGACACGGUCCAGACUCCUACGGGAGGCAGCCGUAGGGAAUCUUCCGCAAUGGGCGAAAGCCUGACGGAGCAACGCCGCGUGAGUGAUGAAGGUCUUCGGAUCGUAAAACUCUGUUAUUAGGGAAGAACAAAUGUGUAAGUAACUAUGCACGUCUUGACGGUACCUAAUCAGAAAGCCACGGCUAACUACGUG
Molecule: ribosomal RNA, 497 nt
Filed under: uncultured bacterium
Lineage: Bacteria
Description: partial 16S ribosomal RNA
Rfam family: Bacterial small subunit ribosomal RNA
Source: RNAcentral